CGAACGGGUGAGUAACACGUAGGUAACCUGCCCAUGUGCCCGGGAUAACUUCUGGAAACGGAUGCUAAAACCGGAUAGGUAGCAGACAAGCAUUUGACUGCUAUUAAAGUGGCUAAGGCCAUGAACAUGGAUGGACCUGCGGUGCAUUAGCUAGUUGGUGAGGUAACGGCCCACCAAGCCUUCGAUGGAUAGGGGUUCUGAGAGGAAGGUCCCCCACAUUGGAACUGAGACACGGUCCAAACUCCUACGGGAGGCAGCAUG
RNAcentral lists this ribosomal RNA (261 nucleotides) under uncultured bacterium. RNAcentral's name for it is "partial 16S ribosomal RNA". It matches the Rfam family "Bacterial small subunit ribosomal RNA", at positions 99 to 353 of the family's 1533-position model. The record is from RNAcentral.